CUGACCAUGAUCAAAAGAUGGUUGUCCAAAAAUUCUCAAUGAAAGACCUAGGGAAAACAUCCUAUACUUUUGGAAUAAAGAUCUAUAGGGAUAGACCUAAGCAGAUGUUUGGCCUGUCACAAAAGUGAAGAAACCAGAUCUAGGGUUUCAGGGUUAGAUCUUGAAACUUUUUCAAGAUCAGGCAGUGGAAGACUAAAAUAAAUCAAAAUUUAUCUUAUAAAACUAAAGAAUCCC
Molecule: long non-coding RNA, 234 nt
Filed under: Elaeis guineensis (African oil palm)
Lineage: Eukaryota; Viridiplantae; Streptophyta; Magnoliopsida; Arecales; Arecaceae
Description: long non-coding RNA (EGUI_LNC052117)
Source: RNAcentral